UGGGGAAUCUUGCGCAAUGGGCGAAAGCCUGACGCAGCGACGCCGCGUGAGGGAUGAAGGUUUUCGGAUCGUAAACCUCUGUCAGAAGGGAAGAAACCGCACUGUGCUAAUCAGCAGUGCCUUGACGGUACCUUCAAAGGAAGCACCGGCUAACUCCGUGCCAGCAGCCGCGGUAAUACGGAGGGUGCAAGCGUUAAUCGGAAUUACUGGGCGUAAAGCGCACGUAGGCUGCUUUGUAAGUCAGGGGUGAAAUCCCACGGCUCAACCGUGGAACGGCCGUUGAUACUGGUUAGCUUGAAUCCGGGAGAGGGUAGCGGAAUUCCAGGUGUAGGAGUGAAAUACGUAGAUAUCAGGAGGAACAUCAGUGGCGAAGGCGGCCACCUGGACAGGUAUUGACGCUGAGGUGCGAAGGCGUGGGGAGCAAACAGG
This 429-nucleotide ribosomal RNA is filed under the name Fusobacteriota bacterium. RNAcentral describes it as "Fusobacteria bacterium partial 16S ribosomal RNA". It matches the Rfam family "Bacterial small subunit ribosomal RNA", at positions 355 to 776 of the family's 1533-position model. The record is from RNAcentral. Lineage: Bacteria; Fusobacteriati; Fusobacteriota.